Molecule: ribosomal RNA, 654 nt
Filed under: Triticum aestivum (bread wheat)
Lineage: Eukaryota; Viridiplantae; Streptophyta; Magnoliopsida; Poales; Poaceae
Description: partial small subunit ribosomal RNA
Source: RNAcentral
AUGAAAGGAGGCAAGGCGAUGGGCCCUGAUUGUAUCCCCAUUGAGGUGUGGAAAGGUCUCGGGGACAUAGCGAUAGUAUGGCUAACCAAGCUUUUGAACCUCAUUUUUCGGGCAAACAAGAUGCCAGAAGAAUGGAGACGGAGUAUAUUAGUACCAAUCUUCAAGAACAAGGGGGAUGUUCAGAGUUGUACUAAUUACCGUGGAAUUAAGCUGAUGAGCCAUACAAUGAAGCUAUGGGAGAGAGUCAUUGAGCACCGCUUAAGUAGAAUGACAAGCGUGACCAAAAAUCAGUUUGGUUUCAUGCCUGGGAGGUCGACCAUGGAAGCCAUUUUCUUGGUACGACAACUUAUGGAGAGAUAUAGGGAGCAUAAGAAGGACUUGCAUAUGGUGUUCAUUGACUUGGAGAAGGCCUAUGAUAAGAUACCGCGGAAUGUCAUGUGGUGGGCCUUGGAGAAACACAAAGUCCCAGCAAAGUACAUUACCCUCAUCAAGGACAUGUACAAUAAUGUUGUGACAAGUGUUCGAACAAGUGAUGUCGACACCGAUGACUUCCCGAUUAAGAUAGGACUGCAUCAGGGGUCAGCUUUGAGCCCUUAUCUUUUUGCAUUGGUGAUGGAUGAGGUCACAAGGGGUAUACAAGGAGAUAUCCCAUAG